RNAcentral lists this ribosomal RNA (432 nucleotides) under uncultured bacterium. RNAcentral describes it as "partial 16S ribosomal RNA". It matches the Rfam family "Bacterial small subunit ribosomal RNA", at positions 29 to 507 of the family's 1533-position model. The record is from RNAcentral.
AACGAACGCUGGCGGCAGGCCUAACACAUGCAAGUCGAGCGAGGACUUCGGUUCUAGCGGCGGACGGGUGAGUAACGCGUGGGAAUGUGCCCUUCUCUACGGAAUAGCCCUGGAAACUGGGAGUAAUACCGUAUACGCCCUAUUGGGGAAAGAUUUAUCGGAGAAGGAUCAGCCCGCGUUGGAUUAGGUAGUUGGUGGGGUAAUGGCCUACCAAGCCGACGAUCCAUAGCUGGUUUGAGAGGAUGAUCAGCCACACUGGGACUGAGACACGGCCCAGACUCCUACGGGAGGCAGCAGUGGGGAAUCUUAGACAAUGGGGGCAACCCUGAUCUAGCCAUGCCGCGUGAGUGAUGAAGGCCUUAGGGUUGUAAAGCUCUUUCAGCUGGGAAGAUAAUGACGGUACCAGCAGAAGAAGCCCCGGCUAACUCCGUG